Molecule: long non-coding RNA, 883 nt
Organism: Mytilus trossulus (common blue mussel)
Lineage: Eukaryota; Metazoa; Mollusca; Bivalvia; Mytilida; Mytilidae
Exons: 3
Source: RefSeq, a predicted model, not a curated record
UUCUUUCCCCUGUACAUUACUUGACCGUUUUUGUAAAACAACAGCACUCGAGGACAAGAACUAUAGAAGAUACAGAGAAAUAAUAUACAGCAGAAAUGAUAGGCAAUGUAAAAUUUGCAGAAGCCAACUAAACCUAAAUGGUGAUCAGACAUCUUGGUUUUCAUGAUCAAUAGGUCAUUACUGAAGAGGAAACCUAAAGUUGAAAUUUAUUUACAUAGUGCAUAAUUGGAUUAAUUUGAAAUGGAAUGUGUGCUUUCCUGCAAAAAAGAAAUAGGAAAUUUCAACAUUAUCACAUGAUAAUGACCAUAUAAAACAAAAUGGAGUUCUAUCAUAGAUACACAAAAACACUAUUGCAUAGAAGCAACAACAUAUCUUAAUCAAAAGAAAGGAGAAUGCAGAACAAAUACUAUUUUGUUGUUGAAAAAAGGAACACCAGUUUUAUCCACUCACUUACAUCACUCCCUCAUAUCAAAUAUACAGAAGAAGAUCAUUGAAGAACAAUUUGCAAAAAUGAUUUCUCUUAGAAUUGAAGGGAAUUGUUUAGUGAAUGGAAUAAUGUAUUCACUGAAUUCUUACAUAGUGGAUUGAAUAACUGUACACAAGCUGAAACAGAAGAAAUUCUAAUUUAAAAUAACACGAAAAGUGUUUAUUUUAUUAUUUAAUCUGCAAAUAUAUAAACAAAUUCUUUAGAACACCACAAAUGAUAUAAUGACAUUCAAAUUGGUUGCUUAUUAAUGUAUCGCAUUGAAACAAUUACAAAGAAAACAGAAGCAUUUGCUCCAAAAAAAUUAUAAAUCAAAGUUAAAUUUAUAUAAAAAGUAUAAACAAUACCUAGAUCUAAACAGUCAGACUGUAUUAUUUUCAAUGUCAUUAAAAUGUUGAG